This 355-nucleotide unclassified non-coding RNA is filed under the name soil metagenome. RNAcentral describes it as "partial contains 5.8S ribosomal RNA, internal transcribed spacer 2, and large subunit ribosomal RNA". The stretch from base 1 to 120 matches the Rfam family "5.8S ribosomal RNA", at positions 35 to 154 of the family's 154-position model. The record is from RNAcentral.
GAUGAAGAACGUAGCGAAAUGCGAUAAGUAAUGUGAAUUGCAGAAUUCAGUGAAUCAUCGAAUCUUUGAACGCACAUUGCGCCCGCCAGUAUUCUGGCGGGCAUGCCUGUCCGAGCGUCAUUUCAACCCUCGAACCCCUCCGGGGGGUCGGCGUUGGGGAUCGGCCCUGCCUCUUGGCGGUGGCCGUCUCCGAAAUGCAGUGGCGGUCUCGCCGCAGCCUCUCCUGCGCAGUAGUUUGCACACUCGCAUCGGGAGCGCGGCGCGUCCACAGCCGUUAAACACCCAACUUCUGAAAUGUUGACCUCGGAUCAGGUAGGAAUACCCGCUGAACUUAAGCAUAUCAAUAAGCGGAGGA